This 471-nucleotide ribosomal RNA is filed under the name uncultured marine bacterium. RNAcentral describes it as "bacterial SSU rRNA". It matches the Rfam family "Bacterial small subunit ribosomal RNA", at positions 1 to 474 of the family's 1533-position model. The record is from RNAcentral.
UAGAGUUUGAUCAUGGCUCAGGAUGAACGCUAGCGGCAGGCCUAAUACAUGCAAGUCGAGGGGUAAGAGUCAGCUUGCUGACUACACGACCGGCGCACGGGUGCGUAACGCGUAUGCAACCUACCUUUAACAGAGGAAUAGCCCCGAGAAAUCGGGAUUAAUACCACAUAACAUUAUGAUAUGGCAUCAUAUUAUAAUUAAAACUCCGGUGGUUAAAGAUGGGCAUGCGUGACAUUAGCUAGUUGGUGAGGUAACUGCUCACCAAGGCUACGAUGUCUAGGGGUUCUGAGAGGAUGAUCCCCCACACUGGUACUGAGACACGGACCAGACUCCUACGGGAGGCAGCAGUAAGGAAUAUUGCGCAAUGGAGGCAACUCUGACGCAGCCAUGCCGCGUGCAGGAUUGAAGGCCUUAUGGGUCGUAAACUGCUUUUAUUUAGGAAUAAACUUUCGUACGUGUACGAAACUGAAG